Non-coding RNA from Sander lucioperca (pikeperch), 72 nucleotides. The record is from the annotation of a RefSeq genome assembly. NCBI's taxonomy places the organism in Eukaryota, Metazoa, Chordata, Actinopteri, Perciformes, Percidae.
GGACUUGUGGCGCAAUGGUAGCGUGUCUGAUUCCAGCUCAGAAUGUUGUGUGUUCAAAUCACAUCAAGAUCA